Molecule: ribosomal RNA, 252 nt
Filed under: uncultured bacterium
Lineage: Bacteria
Description: partial 16S ribosomal RNA
Rfam family: Bacterial small subunit ribosomal RNA
Source: RNAcentral
UACGUAGGGGGCUAGCGUUAUCCGGAAUUACUGGGCGUAGAGGGUGCGUAGGUGGUUUCUUAAGUCAGAGGUGAAAGGCUACGGCUCAACCGUAGUAAGCCUUUGAAACUGGGAAACUUGAGUGCAGGAGAGGAGAGUGGAAUUCCUAGUGUAGCGGUGAAAUGCGUAGAUAUUAGGAGGAACACCAGUUGCGAAGGCGGCUCUCUGGACUGUAACUGACACUGAGGCACGAAAGCGUGGGGAGCAAACAGG